This 969-nucleotide ribosomal RNA is filed under the name uncultured Bacillus sp. Its description in RNAcentral is "bacterial SSU rRNA". It matches the Rfam family "Bacterial small subunit ribosomal RNA", at positions 62 to 1012 of the family's 1533-position model. The record is from RNAcentral. Lineage: Bacteria; Bacillati; Bacillota; Bacilli; Caryophanales; Bacillaceae.
UCGAGCGAACUGAUUAGAAGCUUGCUUCUAUGACGUUAGCGGCGGACGGGUGAGUAACACGUGGGCAACCUGCCUGUAAGACUGGGAUAACUUCGGGAAACCGAAUCUAAUACCGGAUAGGAUCUUCUCCUUCAUGGGAGAUGAUUGAAAGAUGGUUUCGGCUAUCACUUACAGAUGGGCCCGCGGUGCAUUAGCUAGUUGGUGAGGUAACGGCUCACCAAGGCAACGAUGCAUAGCCAACCUGAGAGGGUGAUCGGCCACACUGGGACUGAAACACGGCCCAGACUCCUACGGGAGGCAGCAGUAGGGAAUCUUCCGCAAUGGACGAAAGUCUGACGGAGCAACGCCGCGUGAGUGAUGAAGGCUUUCGGGUCGUAAAACUCUGUUGUUAGGGAAAAACAAGUACGAGAGUAACUGCUUGUACCUUGACGGUACCUAACCAAAAAGCCACGGCUAACUACGUGCCAGCAGCCGCGGUAAUACGUAGGUGGCAAGCGUUAUCCGGAAUUAUUGGGCGUAAAGCGCGCGCAGGCGGUUUCUUAAGUCUGAUGUGAAAGCCCACGGCUCAACCGUGGAGGGUCAUUGGAAACUGGGGAACUUGAGUGCAGAAGAGAAAAGCGGAAUUCCACGUGUAGCGGUGAAAUGCGUAGAGAUGUGGAGGAACACCAGUGGCGAAGGCGGCUUUUUGGUCUGUAACUGACGCUGAGGCGCGAAAGCGUGGGGAGCAAACAGGAUUAGAUACCCUGGUAGUCCACGCCGUAAACGAUGAGUGCUAAGUGUUAGGAGGGUUUCCGCCCUUUAGUGCUGCAGCUAACGCAUUAAGCACUCCGCCUGGGGAGUACGGUCGCAAGACUGAAACUCAAGGAAUUGACGGGGGCCCGCACAAGCGGUGGAGCAUGUGUUUUAAUUCGAAGCAACGCGAAGACCUUACCAGGUCUUGACAUCCUCUGACAACUCUAGAGAUAGAGC